Molecule: long non-coding RNA, 470 nt
Filed under: Anser brachyrhynchus (Pink-footed goose)
Lineage: Eukaryota; Metazoa; Chordata; Aves; Anseriformes; Anatidae
Description: lncRNA (ENSABRG00000017755.1)
Source: RNAcentral
CUCCUCUUGAUUUCCCUUUUAAUACUAAUUAUGAGCCAGAUUGUUCACUGAUCGUUUGAGCCAGUCCCCUCUUCAGGCACAGUAACAGCUCAGAUGCGACCAAGGUUCCUGCUGCUCUAAUUUGCAGCUUCAUUUCACCUGGGACAGUGCCUAGAUCAACCCGAGUCUGGCUCCCAGAGCCCUGGAGACUUACAGAUGAGGCAUCAACAUUAAAGCUCGAAUUCACCUACAUGGGUUGUGAAGGCUUCCAUGAAAUGUGUGCAGAGUGAUCUGGAAAGAUAAUUGCUCACUUGGUUAAUGCUUGUGCUGCAGGACCAUGCUCCAGGUUGGCACUCUUGUCCCUCUUGUCUGCGUGGAUGCUGGAGCAGCAUUCAGACACCUUCCAACAGCAUCGUUAAGCUCCUGGAUAAGUCAGAGCUUGUUUCAAAGCUGGGAGCGCAAUGAAUAAAUAUUUUAGAAAUCUGAACAUG